Molecule: long non-coding RNA, 544 nt
Organism: Gopherus evgoodei (Goodes thornscrub tortoise)
Lineage: Eukaryota; Metazoa; Chordata; Testudines; Testudinidae
Exons: 3
Source: RefSeq, a predicted model, not a curated record
CAUGCAGGAGAACUAUGAGAAUGUGACCUCGCUAGGGUUUCCAGUUUCCAAACGUCAUAUAAUCUCCCAUCUGGAACAAGGAGAAGAGCCAUGGGUCCCAGACCUCCAUGGUUCAGAGGAUAGAUGGAUCCUGAGAGCUCCCUGCACAGCAGAUGAUGCAAUGGUAGGUGAGAAAAAGGAGCAGAAUUAUCAGCAGGAAAAUGUCGAGCAAGUGGAUAAACACAGAGAAUUAUCGCAAAGAUAAAAAAGAAAUGUGUCGAAGAGUCAUGAGCAGAGAAAAUCAUGCAAGCCUCAGCACACACCAGAAAGAGAGCAGGGAAAGCAGCCAGGAGAGAAAAUGGGUAAAUUUAUUUUCUGUCGGGGAUCUCAGAAGAGCGUCAAGGAAACCACAACACAGCAGAAAAUCCUCGUGGGAAAGAGGAAAAAUACAUGCUGUGACUGUGGAAAACGCUUCUCUAGCAGCUCACACCUUUCUGUUCAUCAGAGAAUCCACACAGGGGAGAGGCCCUAUGAAUGCAGGGAGUGUGGGAAAAGCUUCACUAGC